Molecule: ribosomal RNA, 774 nt
Filed under: uncultured bacterium
Lineage: Bacteria
Description: bacterial SSU rRNA
Rfam family: Bacterial small subunit ribosomal RNA
Source: RNAcentral
AAGAGCUUGCUCUUAUGGACGAGUUGCGAACGGGUGAGUAACACGUGGGGAACCUACCUUCUAGCGGGGGAUAACACAUAGAAAUGUGUGCUAAUACCGCAUAAUAGUAUUUGAUGCAUAUCAGAUACUUGAAAGGCGCAAUUGCGUCACUAGAAGAUGGCCCCGCGGUGCAUUAGCUAGUUGGUGAGGUAACGGCUCACCAAGGCAAUGAUGCAUAGCCGACCUGAGAGGGUGAUCGGCCACACUGGGACUGAGACACGGCCCAGACUCCUACGGGAGGCAGCAGUAGGGAAUCUUCGGCAAUGGACGCAAGUCUGACCGAGCAACGCCGCGUGAGUGAAGAAGGUUUUCGGAUCGUAAAACUCUGUUGUAAGAGAAGAACGUUGAUGAGAGUGGAAAGUUCAUCAAGUGACGGUAUCUUACCAGAAAGCCACGGCUAACUACGUGCCAGCAGCCGCGGUAAUACGUAGGUGGCAAGCGUUGUCCGGAUUUAUUGGGCGUAAAGCGAGCGCAGGCGGUUGAUUAAGUCUGAUGUGAAAGCCCCCGGCUCAACCGGGGAGGGUCAUUGGAAACUGGUCAACUUGAGUGCAGAAGAGGAGAGUGGAAUUCCAUGUGUAGCGGUGAAAUGCGUAGAUAUAUGGAGGAACACCAGUGGCGAAGGCGGCUCUCUGGUCUGUAACUGACGCUGAGGCUCGAAAGCGUGGGGAGCGAACAGGAUUAGAUACCCUGGUAGUCCACGCCGUAAACGAUGAGUGCUAAGUGUUGGAGGGUUUC